Molecule: microRNA, 24 nt
Filed under: Ananas comosus (pineapple)
Lineage: Eukaryota; Viridiplantae; Streptophyta; Magnoliopsida; Poales; Bromeliaceae
Description: microRNA s0642_c86a
Source: RNAcentral
GGGUAGAAAUGAUCAAAGGAUAGA